Molecule: long non-coding RNA, 585 nt
Filed under: Capsicum annuum
Lineage: Eukaryota; Viridiplantae; Streptophyta; Magnoliopsida; Solanales; Solanaceae
Description: long non-coding RNA (CANN_LNC003556)
Source: RNAcentral
UUCUUAUCUUUUUCAACUGAAUACAUCAUUCUUAUGCCAUAAUAGAUAUAUCUCCAUUAACAUCAUCUUUAACCUCCAUACAUGAAUCUGUGAACUUUCUCCAUACUCCACCCCCAACUCCCUUCUCCUCAAGCCAUCGUUGUUAGUAGAUCCUCACCGACGAGACGCCAAAUAAACUCAAACAGAGUCUCUUACACCAUCGCGCGUCUAUACCCUCACCUCGCUCCAUCCAGUGUCGCGUCAUCGGUGACAUUUCUCAGCGUCGCAUCAUCGGUGAAAUUCUGUUGAGAACCACUCUCUCCGGCCAGCCUUCGCUUCUAAACUACGACGAAUCCAAUCGAAAAAAUAAAUAAAUUUUGUCACCCAUCGGUGACUCACUUGGUUUGUACACUUGAAAAAUCGAGGUUCACUUCUGUAAAAAAAAAAAAAAAAUGGUUGAAACAAUUGGAUUUAUCGUUUGGGGAUUCAACGUUGAACUUGUACAAUCGAAAGGAGGAAAAAAUGAAUUGAAUUUGGGGAUAAGUGUGAUGUAUCAGACGACUUGGAGAGAUAAAUUAAAAUCCAAGAUUUUGUAAUUAUUCUAAG